This 800-nucleotide long non-coding RNA is filed under the name Vigna radiata. RNAcentral's name for it is "long non-coding RNA (VRAD_LNC001821)". Lineage: Eukaryota; Viridiplantae; Streptophyta; Magnoliopsida; Fabales; Fabaceae. The record is from RNAcentral.
UUUACUUAAUUGCUCUUUAACCUUUCUCUAAUUUCUCUCUUUUUGUGGUCAGAGAGGUUGAGUUGGUCAAAUAUGAGGGCUGACUUUCCCCAAGUGAAACAUAGAAAAUACUAACCAAAACGUAGAAGGAGCAAAGGCGCAGGUAAGGGGAUUCGAUUUUUCUCCAAUUCCAGAAGCUAUGGUUCAAGAGAGAAGAGGAGCCAUGUUUGAGAGACCAAGGAGUCGCUGAGCCAGAGUCUGCACCAGGGCCUAAAGCUGUCAAAGAGGAAUCAGUGUGACCAACCAGAUGCCAUUUGAAGAGGGUUUGCUCGAGGGAAGCGAAUCUGUUUCUGCAUCUGCCAGGGUCUGACUUCUCCUUUCUUCCUUUUUCCUUUCUUUUCCUUAUAAAUAGAAUAGCGAAAUAGUGAGAAGGAAUGAAUGGGUAGUGUAGUUUUUGGGAGGCAGGACGUGUAUAGUAGUGAGUAGAGGAUAUCAAUUUUUUGAAUCUACUUUCUUUCUUUUCAAUCUUAGAAUCAGAAAAGGUAGAGAGUAGAAAAAGUGAUUUUACUUUUAAUUGGAGGUUCCACGAAGGAGUCUCAUGAGCACAAAGUGGUCGUGAGCAUUCUUUUGAGUAAUUUCUUGUAUCUUUUUUACUCUAUGAACUCAGUUCUUUCGUACAUUUUGAAUAAAAUUUUGGCUUUUAUUGUUUCUAUGUUCAAGAUAUUACAUUUUCGUUCUUUAAUUUUUUCUUGCAAGAUUUUAAGUUUCCAGAACUUUGAUAUUACUGUUUCUGCGUUCUGGAAUUGAAUUUUGACUUCUAU